Molecule: ribosomal RNA, 501 nt
Filed under: uncultured bacterium
Lineage: Bacteria
Description: partial 16S ribosomal RNA
Rfam family: Bacterial small subunit ribosomal RNA
Source: RNAcentral
AUUGAACGCUGGCGGCAGGCUUAACACAUGCAAGUCGAGCGGAGAGAGGUAGCUUGCUACUGAUCUUAGCGGCGGACGGGUGAGUAAUGCUUAGGAAUCUGCCUAUUAGUGGGGGACAACAUUUCGAAAGGAAUGCUAAUACCGCAUACGUCCUACGGGAGAAAGCAGGGGAUCUUCGGACCUUGCGCUAAUAGAUGAGCCUAGGUCGGAUUAGCUAGUUGGGGGGGUAAAGGCCUACCAAGGCGACGAUCUGUAGCGGGUCUGAGAGGAUGAUCCGCCACACUGGAACUGAGACACGGCCCAGACUCCUACGGGAGGCAGCAGUGGGGAAUAUUGGACAAUGGGCGGGAGCCUGAUCCAGCCAUGCCGCGUGUGUGAAGAAGGCCUUAUGGUUGUAAAGCACUUUAAGCGAGGAGGAGGCUACUUUAGUUAAUACCUAGAGAUAGUGGACGUUACUCGCGGAAUAAGCACCGGCUAACUCUGUGCCAGCAGCCGCAGUAA